CCUACGGGUGGCAGCAGUGAGGAAUAUUGGUCAAUGGGCGCGAGCCUGAACCAGCCAAGUAGCGUGAAGGAUGACUGCCCUACGGGUUGUAAACUUCUUCUAUAAAGGAAUAAAGUGAGGCACGUGUGCCUUUUUGUAUGUACUUUAUGAAUAAGGAUCGGCUAACUCUGUGCCAGCAGCCGCGGUAAUACGGAGGUGCCGAGCGUUAUCCGGAUUUAUUGGGUUUAAAGGGAGCGUAGAUGGGUUGUUAAGUCAGUUGCGAAAGUUUGCGGCUCAACCGUAAAAUUGCAAUUGAUACUGGCAGCCUUGAGUACAGUUGAGGUAGGCGGAAUUCGUGGUGUAGCGGUGAAAUGCUUAGAUAUCACGAGGAACUCCGAUUGCGAAGGCAGCUUACUAAACUGCCACUGACAUUGAUGCUCGAAAGUGUGGGUAUCAAACAGGAUUAGAUACCCGGGUAGUC
RNAcentral lists this ribosomal RNA (460 nucleotides) under uncultured bacterium. RNAcentral's name for it is "partial 16S ribosomal RNA". It matches the Rfam family "Bacterial small subunit ribosomal RNA", at positions 338 to 795 of the family's 1533-position model. The record is from RNAcentral.